AGAGUUUGAUCCUGGCUCAGGACGAACGCUGGCGGUGUGCUUCACACAUGCAAGUCGAACGGGGUAGCAAUACCCAGUGGCGGACGGGUGAGUAACACGUAGGAAUCUGCCUCUAGAUGGGGGAUAACUGGCCGAAAGGCUAGCUAAUACCGCAUAUGAGUGUAUCCCGACAGGGGUACCCUUGAAAGGAGUAAUCCGUCUGGAGAUGAGCCUGCGUCCGAUUAGCUAGUUGGUAGGGUAAUGGCCUACCAAGGCGACGAUCGGUAGCUGGUCUGAGAGGACGAUCAGCCACAAUGGGACUGAGACACGGCCCAUACUCCUACGGGAGGCAGCAGUGGGGAAUUUUGUGCAAUGGGCGAAAGCCUGACACAGCGACACCGCGUGAGCGAAGAAGCCCUUUGGGGUGUAAAGCUCUGUCAGCAGGGACGAAAAAAAUGACGGUACCUGCAGAGGAAGCAUCGGCUAACUACGUGCCAGCAGCCGCGGUAAGACGUAGGAUGCGAGCGUUGUCCGGAUUUAUUGGGCGUAAAGAGUUCGUAGGCGGUUCGUUAAGUUCGAUGUUAAAGACCGGGGCCUAACCCCGGGACUGCAUUGAAUACUGGCGGACUGGAGUGCAGUAGAGGCGAGUGGAAUUCCCAGUGUAGCGGUGAAAUGCGUAGAUAUUGGGAAGAACACCAGUGGCGUAAGCGACUCGCUGGGCUGUAACUGACGCUGAGGAACGAAAGCCAGGGUAGCGAAUGGGAUUAGAUACCCCAGUAGUCC
This 762-nucleotide ribosomal RNA is filed under the name uncultured soil bacterium. Its description in RNAcentral is "bacterial SSU rRNA". It matches the Rfam family "Bacterial small subunit ribosomal RNA", at positions 8 to 796 of the family's 1533-position model. The record is from RNAcentral.